UGAAUUCACUACUGUAAGUCGCUCUGGAUAAGAGCGUCUGCUAAAUGACUCAAA
Non-coding RNA from Salmo salar (Atlantic salmon), 54 nucleotides. Lineage: Eukaryota; Metazoa; Chordata; Actinopteri; Salmoniformes; Salmonidae. The record is from Rfam.